GGUUCCAUAGUGUAGCAGUCGUCAUGGCUGCUUUAUAUGCAGAAAGUCCUGGGUUCAAUCCCCAGUGGACCCA
Molecule: transfer RNA, 73 nt
Filed under: Pangasianodon hypophthalmus (striped catfish)
Lineage: Eukaryota; Metazoa; Chordata; Actinopteri; Siluriformes; Pangasiidae
Rfam family: tRNA
About the family: Transfer RNA (tRNA) molecules are approximately 80 nucleotides in length. Their secondary structure includes four short double-helical elements and three loops (D, anti-codon, and T loops).
Source: Rfam by way of RNAcentral